AUAACGGUCCUAAGGUAGCGAAAUUCCUUGUCGGGUAAGUUCCGACCUGCACGAAAGGCGCAACGACUUGGGCGCUGUCUCGACCAUGGACCCGGUGAAAUUGCACUGGUCGUGAAGAUGCGACUUACCCGCGGAAGGACGGAAAGACCCCGUGAACCUUUACUGCAGCUUGGCAUUGGCCGACGGCGCGUCGCGUAGAGGAUAGGCAGGAGCCCGCGAAGCGGGGGCGCAAGCCCCCGUGGAGGCGACCUUGGAAUACUGCCCCCGGCGCGUCGGCGGCCUAACCCCGACCCGUGCAACCGGGCGGGGGACCGUGCCAGGCGGGUAGUUUGACUGGGGCGGUCGCCUCCCAAAGAGUAACGGAGGCGCGCGCAAGGUUGGCUCAGGGCGGUCGGCAAUCGCCCGCAGAGCGCAAGAGUGCAAGCCAGCCUGACUGCGAGGCCCACAAGCCGAGCAGGGACGAAAGUCGGCUCUAGUGAUCCGGCGGCCCAGAGUGGAAUGGCCGUCGCUCAACGGAUAAAAGGUACUCCGGGGAUAACAGGCUGAUCUUGCCCAAGAGUCCACAUCGACGGCAAGGUUUGGCACCUCGAUGUCGGCUCAUCGCAUCCUGGGGCUGAAGUCGGUCCCAAGGGUACGGCUGUUCGCCGUUUAAAGCGGUACGCGAGCUGGGUUCAGAACGUCGUGAGACAGUUCGGUCCCUAUCCUCCGUGGGCGCAGGAGAAUUGAGGAGGUCUACCCCUAGUACGAGAGGACCGGGGCGGACGGGCCUCUGGUGUCCCGGUUGUCGACCAACGGCACGGCCGGCUAGCCACGCCCGGAACGGAUAACCGCUGAAAGCAUCUAAGCGGGAAGCCGUCUCCGAGAUGAGUUCUCCCUCCGGUAAGGGCCCUCGUAGACCACGAGGUCGAUAGGCCGCAGCUGCAAGCGCCGCGAGGCGUUCAGGCGAGCGGUACUAAUAGCCCGAGCUCUUGCUUCC
Molecule: ribosomal RNA, 976 nt
Filed under: human gut metagenome
Description: bacterial LSU rRNA
Rfam family: Bacterial large subunit ribosomal RNA
Source: RNAcentral